UAUGGAUUGACCAGUCAUUUCGAGCUCAGUCUGUUCCACUGCAUUUAUCAGGAAUUGAUUCAGAUGAGCAGUUCAUCUUACCACCCUGCCUGCGUCUUCAUGGGCUGGGAGACAGCACGUGUCACCUCCAGCAUCUGCCGUGGGUACCGUGAUCAGAUAUCCUGACCAAGGGAGGAAGUCUUGCUGGGUUGGGAGACAGCUCCAUAUUCAAAGAGGCACAAAACUUCCUUCACUGUGAAGUGCAGCCUCCAAGCAGUGAUGUAACAGAGAAGAUGAUGUGUUCAUGGUGGUAACCACACAACUCAACUGAUGAAAUCAAGAUGGUCUUUGGUACAGGAGUCUUUGCAGUCCCAUCUCUUUGAGUGCAGUCCUCAAAAUGUGGUAAAAAAGAAUUGCAUUGAUCACAUUUCUCACAAUACAUCUAAGAGAAAACAUGCGAAGGAUGAGAAACAUUUAACACCCUCUGGCCCUCCCAUUCUGCAUUUCGGAUGACUGACAUUGUCUCCAGCCUCCUCUCAGCACAAUGAACAUCCCGGUGACUAAUCCAUGUGCCACAUCUGUUGCUGUGAUCAGAGGAGACAGGACCAGGACACAGAAGAAUAUCCGCCUAUUAGCUAUUUCAACUUUCCUGAGCCGUUUGAAGGGGAAACGUGUCCUGGCACAGAAAGCAGAGCUGCAGCGGUCCCACUGCUCAAAGGUGCUGAGGUAUCUUCAGCCAGUGGGGCUCUUCCAUCAAAGGACUCCGUGUCUACACAGACAUGCCAAAAUUGUGGUGGUAACAUUGCAGAUGUGAUUUCCUGUAUCAAAAGGUGGUGCUUUGUUCCUAGCAGGUGGACUGGAUCAGAAAGUUGUUGAAUAAUUAAAGCCACUUUACAUCAAGGCUGAUCCAUAGAGGAAGGCAUUUUGCAUGUGAAAAGCUGCAAAGGGUGGAAGACUUUGGGGUAUCAGCAGUCAGCAGUGAGCAACUGAGAUUGGUAAUGCUACAGUAAGCUGCCUCCUUUGCACAGCUCUACAGGAUCAUGGAAGGAGGCCAAUUGCUGGAUUUCUGUACUUUAUCUUGAUUAAACGGCUGUUUCAAUUUGGUAUUCACUCCUUUCAUAUUUGUAAUCACUUUAAGAUUUUCAUUUUAUAGUAUUCACUUAUUUAACUGCUUGUUUCCUGCCAAGUCUAAAAAAAGAAAGGCUUUUCCCUCCCUUCUCCUUUCCAAGCUGCAAUAAAGGCAAGAGUUUACACA
This 1234-nucleotide long non-coding RNA is filed under the name Calidris pugnax (ruff). RNAcentral's name for it is "lncRNA (ENSCPUG00000007734.1)". Lineage: Eukaryota; Metazoa; Chordata; Aves; Charadriiformes; Scolopacidae. The record is from RNAcentral.